RNAcentral lists this long non-coding RNA (261 nucleotides) under Lathyrus oleraceus (garden pea). RNAcentral's name for it is "Pisum sativum (pea) long non-coding RNA (PSAT_LNC011846)". Lineage: Eukaryota; Viridiplantae; Streptophyta; Magnoliopsida; Fabales; Fabaceae. The record is from RNAcentral.
AUUUUUUCUUGAAGAUUUUCCGUCUGCAUUAAUCUUCUCUUCUUCUGCAUUUUCUCUUUUUUGUGAAAUCAUUUAUGGAACUUGGUUAUGGGUUCUUGAUUGUGAGGGUGAGCAAGGGAAUUAAAGAGGUUCCAAUUGCAACGCAAUUUUUUUAUGGUAUUUAGAAGUUUUGGUUAAAGGUCUUUGGAAUGAGGAGGUUUCAGUGAGCAGGGUUGAAGAGUUUGUUGAAGUGGUUGUUGAUUAUUUUUUUUUGGAAGCAUG